GAUGAACGCUGGCGGCGUGCCUAAUACAUGCAAGUCGAGCGAACAGACGAGGAGCUUGCUCCUCUGACGUUAGCGGCGGACGGGUGAGUAACACGUGGAUAACCUACCUAUAAGACUGGGAUAACUUCGGGAAACCGGAGCUAAUACCGGAUAAUAUAUUGAACCGCAUGGUUCAAUAGUGAAAGACGGCUUUGCUGUCAUUUAUAGAUGGAUCCGCGCCGCAUUAGCUAGUUGGUAAGGUAACGGCUUACCAAGGCGACGAUGCGUAGCCGACCUGAGAGGGUGAUCGGCCACACUGGAACUGAGACACGAUCCAGACUCCUACGGGAGGCAGCAGUAGGGAAUCUUCCGCAAUGGGCGAAAGCCUGACGGAGCAACGCCGCGUGAGUGAUGAAGGUCUUCGGAUCGUAAAGCUCUGAUAUUAGGGAAGAACAAAUGUGUAAGUAACUAUGCACGUCUUGACGGUACCUAAUCAGAAAGCCACGGCUAACUACGUG
Molecule: ribosomal RNA, 497 nt
Filed under: uncultured bacterium
Lineage: Bacteria
Description: partial 16S ribosomal RNA
Rfam family: Bacterial small subunit ribosomal RNA
Source: RNAcentral